Molecule: ribosomal RNA, 754 nt
Filed under: uncultured Archaeoglobus sp.
Lineage: Archaea; Methanobacteriati; Methanobacteriota; Archaeoglobi; Archaeoglobales; Archaeoglobaceae
Description: bacterial SSU rRNA
Rfam family: Archaeal small subunit ribosomal RNA
Source: RNAcentral
GGACAACCUGCCCUCGGGAGGGGGAUAACCCCGGGAAACUGGGGCUAAACCCCCAUAGGGGAUGGAUACUGGAAUGUUCCAUCUCCGAAAGUCCGCAAGGAGCCCGAGGAUGGGUCUGCGGCGGAUUAGGUAGUUGGUGGGGUAACGGCCCACCAAGCCUAAGAUCCGUACGGGCCAUGGGAGUGGGAGCCCGGAGAUGGACCCUGAGACAAGGGUCCAGGCCCUACGGGGCGCAGCAGGCGCGAAACCUCCGCAAUGCGGGAAACCGCGACGGGGUCAGCCGGAGUGCCGAUGCUUGCAUCGGCUGUCGGGGAGCCUAAAAAGCUCUCCAAGCAAGGGCCGGGCAAGGCCGGUGGCAGCCGCCGCGGUAAUACCGGCGGCCCGAGUGGCGGUCACUAUUAUUGGGCUUAAAGCGUCCGUAGCCGGGUUGGUUAGUCUCCCGGGAAAUCUGGCCGCUCAACGGUCAGAAUUCCGGGAGAUACUGCCAGCCUAGGGACCGGGAGAGGCCGAGGGUAUUCCCGGAGUAGGGGUGAAAUCCUAUAAUCCCGGGAGGACCACCUGUGGCGAAGGCGCUCGGCUGGAACGGGUCCGACGGUGAGGGACGAAGGCCAGGGGAGCAAACCGGAUUAGAUACCCGGGUAGUCCUGGCUGUAAACGAUGCGGACUUUGUGUCGGACAAGCUAUGAGCUUGUCCGGUGCCGGAGGGAAACCGUUAAGUCCGCCGCCUGAGGAGUACGGCCGCAAGGCUGAAACU